CGUCGCCGUAAACCUUAGUGUAGAAGCGCAAUGACUUGACAGGUCGGGGAUACAUUUUGAUGGUGGAACUGUGUUCCUCACCCCACCGGCCAGCAGUGUGUGCAUGCUGCUGAGUCCACCCUCUGUUAAAAUUGGCUGCACAACGCCUGGAUUGCUACAAUGGGUAUUUUGGAGAAAAUCGCGGAAAUAGAGAAAGAAAUUUCUCGGACACA
This is a long non-coding RNA of Poecilia latipinna (sailfin molly), 212 nucleotides long. RefSeq lists it as uncharacterized. The transcript is spliced from 2 exons. NCBI's taxonomy places the organism in Eukaryota, Metazoa, Chordata, Actinopteri, Cyprinodontiformes, Poeciliidae. The record is from RefSeq and is a predicted model, not a curated record.